GUGGGGAAUAUUGGACAAUGGGCGCAAGCCUGAUCCAGCAAUGCCGCGUGGGUGAAGAAGGUCUUCGGAUUGUAAAGCCCUUUCGGUGGGGACGAUGAUGACGGUACCCGCAGAAGAAGCCCCGGCUAACUUCGUGCCAGCAGCCGCGGUAAUACGAAGGGGGCUAGCGUUGCUCGGAGUUACUGGGCGUAAAGGGCGCGUAGGCGGCCUUGUCAGUCAGGCGUGAAAUUCCUGGGCUCAACCUGGGGGCUGCGCUUGAUACGGCAGGGCUAGAGGACGGAAGAGGCUCGUGGAAUUCCCAGUGUAGAGGUGAAAUUCGUAGAUAUUGGGAAGAACACCGGUGGCGAAGGCGGCGAGCUGGUCCGUUACUGACGCUGAGGCGCGACAGCGUGGGGAGCAAACAGGAUUAGAAACCCGGGUAGUCC
This 425-nucleotide ribosomal RNA is filed under the name uncultured bacterium. RNAcentral describes it as "partial 16S ribosomal RNA". It matches the Rfam family "Bacterial small subunit ribosomal RNA", at positions 354 to 796 of the family's 1533-position model. The record is from RNAcentral.